UAGGGAAUAUUGGUCAAUGGGUGCAAGCCUGAACCAGCCAUGCCGCGUGCAGGAAGACGGCCUUCUGGGUUGUAAACUGCUUUUGUCAGGGGAUAAAAAUACCUUGCGAGGUAAAUUGAAGGUACCUGGCGAAUAAGCCACGGCUAACUACGUGCCAGCAGCCGCGGUAAUACGUAGGUGGCAAGCGUUGUCCGGAUUUAUUGGGUUUAAAGGGUGCGUAGGCGGCUUUGUAAGUCAGUGGUGAAAUAUGUCAGCUUAACUGAGAGGGUGCCAUUGAUACUGCAGAGCUUGAGUACAGAUGAGGUAGGCGGAAUUGACGGUGUAGCGGUGAAAUGCUUAGAUAUCGUCAAGAACACCUAUAGCGAAGGCAGCUUACUAGGCUGUAACUGACGCUGAGGCACGAAAGUGUGGGGAUCAAACAGGAUUAGAUACCCUGGUAGUCCACGCCGUAAACGAUGGGCACUAGGUGUCGGCGGUCUAUAAUCCGUCGGUGCCGGCGCUAACGCAGUAAGUGCCCCGCCUGGGGAGUACGGUCGCAAGGCUG
Molecule: ribosomal RNA, 544 nt
Filed under: uncultured bacterium
Lineage: Bacteria
Description: bacterial SSU rRNA
Rfam family: Bacterial small subunit ribosomal RNA
Source: RNAcentral